GAUGAACGCUGGCGGCGUGCCUAAUACAUGCAAGUCGAGCGAAGCGGGGACGGGUGAGUAACACGUGGAUAACCUCCUAUCAGAUUGGGAUAAGCUCGGGAAACAGGAGCUAAACCGGCUACUUAGAGAUGGAGCCGCGCUGCAUUUGCUAGUUGGUAAGGUAACGGCUUACCAAGGCAACGAUGCAUAGCCGACCUGAGAGGGUGAUCGGCCACACUGGAACUGAGACACGGUCCAGACUCCUACGGGAGGCAGCAGGAGGGAAUCUUCCGCAAUGGGCGAAAGCCUGACGUAGCAACGCCGCGUGAGUGAAGAAGGUUUUCGGAUCGUAAAACUCUGUUGUUAGAGAAGCGGUAUCUAACCAGAAAGCCACGGCUAACUACGUGCCAGCAGCCGCGGUAAUUC
Molecule: ribosomal RNA, 405 nt
Filed under: uncultured bacterium
Lineage: Bacteria
Description: partial 16S ribosomal RNA
Rfam family: Bacterial small subunit ribosomal RNA
Source: RNAcentral